RNAcentral lists this ribosomal RNA (300 nucleotides) under Triticum aestivum (bread wheat). RNAcentral's name for it is "partial small subunit ribosomal RNA". Lineage: Eukaryota; Viridiplantae; Streptophyta; Magnoliopsida; Poales; Poaceae. The record is from RNAcentral.
AUGCAGCAACUGGAAGCAGCAAUGAUGGACCCACCUUCAGAAAAUGCCAUGCCCAUUGUGAUGGUUGACAGUGAGGCACAACCUUCUGAGACUGUGUUAGCCGUUGAGCAAACAGGGGAAGUGAUCCCCAUGAUCAUGGACCCACCUGCUCGCACAGCUGGGCCGCCACAUCCGGCAUCUACAGGAACUGGUCGCACAAGGCGUCCCUGCUAUGGAUGGAUCUCUGAGUCUGAGAGUGACUCGGACUACGAAGAAUAUGUUGCACGUCGACAGAAGCAGGUGCAUGUCCCGGCCAAGUAG